GCCGGGGUGGCGGAAUGGCAGACGCACUUGACUCAAAAUCAAGCGGUUAACACCAUAUGGGUUCAAGUCCCAUCCUCGGUACCA
Molecule: transfer RNA, 84 nt
Filed under: bioreactor metagenome
Description: tRNA-Leu
Rfam family: tRNA
About the family: Transfer RNA (tRNA) molecules are approximately 80 nucleotides in length. Their secondary structure includes four short double-helical elements and three loops (D, anti-codon, and T loops).
Source: RNAcentral